Neopsephotus bourkii (Bourke's parrot) is the source of this 3403-nucleotide long non-coding RNA. RefSeq lists it as uncharacterized. The record is from RefSeq and is a predicted model, not a curated record. Lineage: Eukaryota; Metazoa; Chordata; Aves; Psittaciformes; Psittacidae. The transcript is spliced from 4 exons.
GGAGCAGUUUUGCGUAGUUUCUAGGUGAGGCAUUUUGAGGAAAGCAGCUUUUUUUUUAUGGCAUUGGACCAAAAAAUUGGGAGCUGUUUGAAAUAAGGCAGAAUGUUUGUAAGCAAGUGGCAGAACUCCAUCCAAGGAAGAAUAUUGCUGUCUGGCUUUGAAGACAGGACUGUGUCUAGACAGAGCAUUUGUCUUUUUGAGGAGGCAGCCCCCACAGGUGCACUGACCUGAGGGGAUAAGGCAAAAAUGGGUGCAAUUCUAUGAAUGCUUCCUGUGUGGUUUUGGACAAUACAGGUCAUUCUUCUGUGCCUCUGCUCAUCUGCUUUCAAAUAUGAAAAUGUCAUCCUUCUUCCCACACCUUUUCAGCUGAAACAUUGACCCCAAGAGGGAUCAGCUCUUUCUAUGGGCUGGUACAAUUUGGCAAAAGAGGUACCACAGAGCAAGACACAUCUGAAAUCUCAGGAGCUGGGGAGAUGCUGUCAGAUAUAAUUUGUAUCUGCUUUUUCAUAUCUGGAAAUAAAAUAAGUUAUAGAUUAAAAAGAUGAGUUAGAGAGCAAAAGGAACUCUGGAUAAGCGAAUGUUUCCUGGUCAUGUGCAUAUGAAAGCCAGAAAUAUAACACAUAAGAAGUAAUAGAAAAAAACCCCACUAUCCCUGGAAAUGUAUGCUUGAGAAUCUGAAAUGCAGAUACUAUUUUAGAAAGGGAAGAUUUGUGUCUGUAUAUACUAGGAAAUCUUAUGAAUGAAAAUGUUCUGGAUUUAUGAUACUAGCACUAUUUAAUGGCAGGCAACAAGUUCUUUGAGAAGAGCUAAUGAUCUGGUUCCGUGAUGCUCUGAAUACACAUCCCUACCCCCACCACCUCCACCCUCCUGAAAAAAUACAGUCGGAGAGAAAGAGCUAGAAAAGAGUAUGGUCACCAAUUACUCUUCCAGCUUUUACUUUCCUGGCCAGGCCACUUCUGCUCUACUUCUCUCCACCCCAGGAUACUAGUGAUUGCUCAGUCUGCCUCAGACAGCUGCAAAGUUAUCAUUCAGUACCUCUGAUAGGGCAAUUCGUUUACAGCUGCUGCUGUCCCAAUCUUUCAUCCCUCUCUGCUGCUUACACCAAAUAGUUUAGAAAUAUGAAUAACCCCUCCAGGAAUGUGAAGCAGCCAGAGGGAAUGUGUGUGUGCGUGUUUAGUUGCCCAGGUCUGUGCAGGCUUCUCUGUACAAAGCACAAUGCCUGUUCUUUGCUCAGCAUGCUCCUGGGCUAUACCCAGUGUUGGGUCAAUGCCCUUGACUCUGCAGGAUGGCCAACAGCCUGCAAGAGCAAAGGUGGCUAAAGAUUAUUGCUUUCAUAACAGUAUACACUAUGUUAACCGGAGCUGGCAUGUUUUCUCUUGCUGCACAUCACUGGCUUGAUACAGUAGGUAUCUCUGCAUAUAAGGAAAAUGGAAUGCCCAGCAGGAUAGUGCAAUGGUAUCUCAAACGUGGCCAGCUAAUUGUUGCCCUGUCCCUCUGAGGCACUGCAAAAAUACAUAUAUAUCUAGGUGCAAAACUAACACAGCAAACGUGUAUGCUUGGGAUUCAAUUUCUUCUGUGAAAGAUAUACUCAGACCUGUCAGACUGCAGUUGAUUUGCAGUCCUGCUCAGGAGGGACAAUAAGUGAAGUGAGAAGUGCCUGUAGGAAGGCUCUGGCUGCAGCAAGGAGCUCAAUCCUGACUGAGCACUGGCCAGAUGUCUUGAUAUGAUGUGAUGCUUAUGGGCUUCAGCCCUGUCGAGUUCAUUUUCCUGGUAGGUUGCCCUCUGUGCAGGGCCCAGUACCCCUCCAAAGUGCACUGGUGCAUUCACAGGGAUGGGAGAACUCAGGUGCUGUUUCUCCUCCCAUAGCUUGGGCAGUCUCCAUGGGGUUGUCCAAUGCCUUUUGCAAGUGUUGCACUCAUACGUAAUGUCUAAAUGCAUUUAAUCGGUCUUUAAGGCUAUAUGCUUGUCUUCAACCUGGCACAACUGGAGGUUUAAUUGGCUACCAUAACACACAUAAAUAAUAAAAAUAUGCCAAUUAGAUAAAAUUAUGCUUAUUAAUUCAGUAACUACUUCGUGUUAUGUAUCAUGCAUAAAGGUCUACGAAUAUUGCUGUAUACUAGCUGUGCUGUCUCAUAAGCCAAAUAUACAGAUACACAUUUGGAUCUCAUGCUGGGGACUCGCUCCUGUGCCUCUGCUUGAAAUGCCAGGUUUUAAUCACAAAAUAUAGAGACUUUUGAUUUUAGGUUACACUGUUACAAAACGGGUUUAUGUGACCAUUUGCAACCUUGAAAUUCCUUCACAUAAAAUCACUUGUCCACAUCAUGCCUGUUUUCUAACCUGUAGGAAAGGUGCGAUGACGGCUAGUUGUUUAUAGGGGCUGGCUGAAAAUGAAAGACAUUUUAUUUCAUGUUCUCAGUUCUCCAUUUGCCAGGGAAGUCUAAAGGUGCUCUUGAUGCCAAGCUGCUUUGAAAAUAUAGCCCUUAAUUUUAGCAAGUCUUUGAAGACAAAGUGUCAUUAUUGUUGGUGUUUCCAGCUUUCAGCAGAUCCCCAAAUUUGUGAUAUUGUAUUUCUGUCUCCCUCCAGCCAAAAUAAGGCAGUGCACAGCCAACUUGUAAUGAACAGAAGAGCAAGUUGCUUUGUCAUACCUCUGAUGAAAUACCUGUAUUUGAAUUUGUAUCAACUUAGAGACAAGAAUCAGGCUGUUCUUAGUCCAAAACAAUUUGUUCAUAUUUAGUUGACAAACAGGACUAUAAAAAUUUCUUGUGUUCAGUCUCAGGCUAUUGUUGGCACCAUGCUCUAUAAUCUCUUCUAUUAUCAAACUCCUCCAUAAAAAUAGCCUUUUUUUUUUUAUUGCCCUUCAUCACUGAGGGAUACUUUUCAUAUUCUAAUCCUUUUAGAGUAAGGUGAUUUGACACCUCAUAUAGUCUUCAAGGCAGAAUAUAUUAUGAAGGAAAAAUUAAGCAGUAAUAUUUAUUCUCUGAUUGCCUUUAUAAACUAACACAUCUUGGCACACAGCUUUUUUAUAUCUCUGAUGUGUACAAGGGAUGAAAGUUAUCAGUACAAAUAAAUGCAAAAGCCAUUAAGGAUGCUGUUGCAGGUAACUGUGAUAUUUAUUUGUGUACAAAUGGGGGGUUUCUAAGGCUUGCAGUAUCGUUCAAUAGAAAUUACAGGGUGGGAGUUUUUUUAGUAUUAGCAGUUGUUAAAUGUGUCAAAGCCAGUGAAGUCAGAGGAGCUGUACAAAGACAAAUGUAUGAGAAGCAUGACAGCGAGUGAAGCUCACUGAUGAAUUCUAGUAAGAUUGAUUGGAAAAGAAUCACCUCAACUUCUUGUGUGUUAGUGGAUUUUAAAUUAAUUAUAUUUUAACUGCUUUGGAGAUGGACCCGAGAACAAAUUCAUGGAGCCC